CAGGGCGGGUUGUUGUAGGAUUUGCAGUCAGAAUGCGUGAAGCUGCGGCGGUGCUCUGAGAUGUCAUAGACGGAUGACUCCCGUCGGAUGAAGUCCAGGGCGCUCUGCGGUGAGCCAUUCACACCAGACAGGUUAGCCAUGUUCUUGGCCGUGCGCAGCAGGCGCAGGAUGUUGGAGUGUGUGUUGUUCAUGGUUGCGGUGGGGGAGUUCAUUACAGACUGGCGCUCCUCGAUCGCCACCCCAUGGAUGCAGCUGUAGAUACCCUGAAGC
RNAcentral lists this long non-coding RNA (270 nucleotides) under Homo sapiens (human). RNAcentral describes it as "HSALNT0185905". The record is from RNAcentral. Lineage: Eukaryota; Metazoa; Chordata; Mammalia; Primates; Hominidae.